CUACUGGGGUAUCUAAUCCUGUUUGAUCCCCACACUUUCGUGCCUCAGCGUCAGUUACAGUCUAGUAAGCUGCCUUCGCUAUCGGUGUUCUUGACGAUAUCUAAGCAUUUCACCGCUACACCGUCAAUUCCGCCUACCUCGUCUGUACUCAAGCCCUGCAGUAUCAAUGGCACCUCGACAGUUGAGCUGCCGUAUUUCACCACUGACUUACAGGGCCGCCUACGCACCCUUUAAACCCAAUAAAUCCGGACAACGCUUGCCACCUACGUAUUACCGCGGCUGCUGGCAC
Molecule: ribosomal RNA, 289 nt
Filed under: uncultured Cytophagales bacterium
Lineage: Bacteria; Pseudomonadati; Bacteroidota; Sphingobacteriia; Sphingobacteriales
Description: partial 16S ribosomal RNA
Source: RNAcentral